RNAcentral lists this ribosomal RNA (253 nucleotides) under uncultured bacterium. Its description in RNAcentral is "partial 16S ribosomal RNA". It matches the Rfam family "Bacterial small subunit ribosomal RNA", at positions 524 to 776 of the family's 1533-position model. The record is from RNAcentral.
UACGUAGGGGGCAAGCGUUGUCCGGAUUUAUUGGGCGUAAAGAGCGUGUAGGCGGCCAGGUAGGUCAGCUGUGAAAACUCGAGGCUCAACCUCGAGACGUCGGUUGAAACCACCUGGCUAGAGUCCGGAAGAGGAGAGUGGAAUUCCUGGUGUAGCGGUGAAAUGCGCAGAUAUCAGGAGGAACACCGGUGGCGAAGGCGGAUCUCUGGGCCAUUACUGACGCUGAGGAGCGAAAGCGUGGGGAGCAAACAGG